AAGGGAAAGAUGAAAGAACUGUCUCAAGCACUAAAAAGCAAAUAUAAACCCUAUACCUUCUGCAUAAUACAUUAACCAGAAAUAGCUUUACACAGAGAACUAUAGUCAAGUUCCCUGAAACCAGACGAGCUACCCAAGAACAGCUGAAAGAGCACACUCUCCUAUGUGGCAAAAUAUUGGGAAGAUUUAUGUGUAGUGGUGACAAGUCUACCAAACCUGGUGAUAGGUGGUUGUCCAACAUAGAAUCUUAGUUCAACUUUAAACUACCCACAGAAUUAUUUAAUCUCCCUGUAAGUUUAACUGUUAGUCUAAAGAGGAACAGCUCUUUAGACCCCAGGGAACAACCUUCCUACAGAGAGUAAAAAAUAUUACUACCAUAGUUGGCCCAAAAGCAGCCACCAAUGAGGAAAGUAUUUAAGCUCAAUAUCUAACUUUUAAAAUUCUAAUUACUCUACUGAACUCCUAGCAUCACAUUGGGCUAAUCUAUUAUCUAAUAGAAACAAUAAUGUUAGUAUAAGUAACAUGAAGACAUUCACCAUUGCUUAAGCUUACAUCAGACUGGAAUAACCCACUGACAGUUAACAUCCUAAUACUAAUAAAUGAUAUAAUAAGCACCCUAUUAUUGAUAAUGUUAACCCGACACAGGUAUACUCUAAGAAAAUAUUACAAAAAGUAAAAGGAACUCGGCAAAUCAUACCCUGCCUGUUUACUAAAAACAUCACUCUAGCAUUACCAGUAUUAGAGUCACUGCCUGCCCAGUGACAUAUGUUCAAUGGCCGCAGUAUCCUGACCAUGCAAAGGUAGCAUAAUCACUUGUUCCCUAAAGAGAGACUUGUAUGAAUGGCCACAGGAGGGUUCAGCUGUCUCUUAUUUUUAAUCAGUGAAAUUGACCUGUCCGUGAAGAGGCGGAUAUAAACAGAUAAGAUGAGAACACCCUAUGGAGCUUUAAUUCAUUAAUGCAAAUAAAAAUUCAAGCAAGCCUAAAGGCCCUAGCCUAUAAUCCCUGCACUAAAAAUUUUGGUUGGAGUGACUUCAGAGCAUAAUUCAACCCCUGAACAACCUAAACUAAGACCACUAGUCUAAUCGAGUUAAUACCCAUUUACCCAAUAAUUUGAUCAAUGGAAUAAGUUACCCUAGGGAUAACAGCACAAUUCUAUUCUAGAGUUCAUAUCGACAAUAGGGUUUAUGACCUGGAUGUUGGAUCAGGACAUCCUAACGGUGUAGCCACUAUUAAGUGUUCAUUUGUUCAAUGAUUAAAGUCCUAAGUGAUCUGAGUUCAGACCGGAGUAAUCCAGGUCGGUUUCUAUCUAUUUAACAUUUCUCCUAG
Macaca mulatta (Rhesus monkey) is the source of this 1327-nucleotide non-coding RNA. The record is from Rfam. NCBI's taxonomy places the organism in Eukaryota, Metazoa, Chordata, Mammalia, Primates, Cercopithecidae.